Molecule: ribosomal RNA, 202 nt
Filed under: uncultured bacterium
Lineage: Bacteria
Description: partial 16S ribosomal RNA
Rfam family: Bacterial small subunit ribosomal RNA
Source: RNAcentral
ACGCUCGACACCUACGGGGGGCAGCAGUUGGGAAUAUUGGACAAUGGAGGAAACUCUGAUCCAGUGACGCCGCGUGAAGGAAGAAGGUCUUCGGAUUGUAAACUUAUUUUGUCAGGGAAGAAAAAUGACUGUACCUGAAGAAAAAGCACCGGCUAACUACGUGCCAGCAGCCGCGGUAAUCUGAGGCGGGCGUGGCGAAGGC